GCAUUCCCUCUAUCUGCUCGCCUCCGGUACAGCGGCCGCCGUUCACCCUCUCUAAGUCUCUAUCAACGUGUCCUGCUUGAGUUGCUUCCGGCGGUCCGAUCGACUCCAUCGCCAGCAUGCCACCUAGGGUUCGUGGGCCGCCAGGCCCUCCGUCUCUCCGGCAGACGGCACCAAGAAGGCAAGAACCGCCACCGCACACACGCAGCCUGUGUGUGUGAAAGAUUGUUUCUCUUUGCCCUCUGGUCCGUCAUAGUCCUGGGCAUCAGAGUUCAAAUUAAUAAUACUUAAAAUCAAGGUAGCACAUGAGGCUGCAGAGGCGAGCAGGUGCUUCUUGCUGAACGAGCCGAGUGAUGUGCUCUUUCCUAAGGCCAUAAUCUGUUCAGGGACCACAUCUCAUCGGAUUCAAAGAGAUAACCGCAUGUGGUAGACACCGGAGCAAGUUGAAGAACCAACACUAGCAAGUAGCAACAUGUGAAGAAGAAACACUAUAUGGCACUAUAAACAUUUGACUGUUCAAGGCAUCAUUACAUCCACUCCGAACCGCUGACCUUUGGGGAAUGUCUUGUUUCUCCAUGAAGUUCAGUUAUGGAGAUAAUACCAUUUCAUUCAUGUACUGACGACGACCUUAUUUGUUAUGUCCAUAGCUACUUCCUUUUCUUUUUGAAAAACAAGGUAGACAGAGCAGAGCAAGAUUAUUUCAUGCAGUUAGCCAUUGGUCUGUCUGAAUGAUGA
Non-coding RNA from Triticum urartu, 732 nucleotides. NCBI's taxonomy places the organism in Eukaryota, Viridiplantae, Streptophyta, Magnoliopsida, Poales, Poaceae. The record is from RefSeq and is a predicted model, not a curated record.